GCAUCGGUGGUCUAGUGGUAGAAUACUCGCCUGCCACGCGGGUGACUUGGGUUCGAUUCCCGGCCGAUGCA
This 71-nucleotide transfer RNA is filed under the name Aplysia californica (California sea hare). Its description in RNAcentral is "tRNA-Gly". It matches the Rfam family "tRNA". Rfam says of the family: Transfer RNA (tRNA) molecules are approximately 80 nucleotides in length. Their secondary structure includes four short double-helical elements and three loops (D, anti-codon, and T loops). The record is from RNAcentral. Lineage: Eukaryota; Metazoa; Mollusca; Gastropoda; Aplysiida; Aplysiidae.